Molecule: long non-coding RNA, 567 nt
Organism: Sinocyclocheilus anshuiensis
Lineage: Eukaryota; Metazoa; Chordata; Actinopteri; Cypriniformes; Cyprinidae
Exons: 3
Source: RefSeq, a predicted model, not a curated record
UUCCUGUCUGAAUAUCUCAGUAUAAAAAACAGGCAAUCUCUGUUUUAGUUUUUCUUUAUUGCCAGAAACAAGCUGUUCUGGUAAACCAUACACUUUGCACACAAAAAUAGUCUAUUUAUUUAAAAAUGCAAUCAACACCCAUUAGUGCAGCUAUGAAUUAAGCACAGAGAUUGUGCUUUUUGUCAAGCUGUGAAGAGCCCAGUGAUCUUCGGUGCUGCAUGAAGCCUUCUAAUUGGCCGCGGCUGAGCCACCUCACACAUUCAGCUUGUUAAAUCUGAAAAGUCUGUCGCUGCCCUCAGGCCAUUUGUCUCUGGAAAUUUACAGGCCACAAACUCACAGACAUGGUUCAAAACAUUACUUCCGCUGACACAUUAGUACUAAAAUUGCUCUGUGUUCAGAAAUUGAGCAAACAAAUUUUAAGACAUGGAUACAAAGAUGCAAACACAAACACAGCAUUUACACAACACUGCUAGAGUUAUCAAUGAGGAUUGCUUUUUUAUUUAAACUUAGGAAGCUCAAGAACUGUGCUUGAUAUGUUUCUGACUAUUGCUUUCAUGAAAUGGAGAA